RNAcentral lists this ribosomal RNA (768 nucleotides) under Microbacteriaceae bacterium. Its description in RNAcentral is "bacterial SSU rRNA". It matches the Rfam family "Bacterial small subunit ribosomal RNA", at positions 43 to 824 of the family's 1533-position model. The record is from RNAcentral. Lineage: Bacteria; Bacillati; Actinomycetota; Actinomycetes; Micrococcales; Microbacteriaceae.
CGUGCUUAACACAUGCAAGUCGAACGGUGAAAGAGAGCUUGCUCUCUGGAUCAGUGGCGAACGGGUGAGUAACACGUGAGCAAUCUGCCCCUGACUCUGGGAUAAGCGCUGGAAACGGCGUCUAAUACCGGAUACGAGCUGCGAAGGCAUCUUCAGCAGCUGGAAAGAACUUCGGUCAGGGAUGAGCUCGCGGCCUAUCAGCUAGUUGGUGAGGUAAUGGCUCACCAAGGCGUCGACGGGUAGCCGGCCUGAGAGGGUGACCGGCCACACUGGGACUGAGACACGGCCCAGACUCCUACGGGAGGCAGCAGUGGGGAAUAUUGCACAAUGGGCGCAAGCCUGAUGCAGCAACGCCGCGUGAGGGACGACGGCCUUCGGGUUGUAAACCUCUUUUAGCAGGGAAGAAGCGAAAGUGACGGUACCUGCAGAAAAAGCACCGGCUAACUACGUGCCAGCAGCCGCGGUAAUACGUAGGGUGCAAGCGUUAUCCGGAAUUAUUGGGCGUAAAGAGCUCGUAGGCGGUUUGUCGCGUCUGCUGUGAAAACUGGGGGCUCAACCCCCAGCCUGCAGUGGGUACGGGCAGACUAGAGUGCGGUAGGGGAGAUUGGAAUUCCUGGUGUAGCGGUGGAAUGCGCAGAUAUCAGGAGGAACACCGAUGGCGAAGGCAGAUCUCUGGGCCGUAACUGACGCUGAGGAGCGAAAGGGUGGGGAGCAAACAGGCUUAGAUACCCUGGUAGUCCACCCCGUAAACGUUGGGAACUAGUUGUG